GAAAAGAAGAGGGAAAAAAAUCACUAGGGAGAGCAUUAAACUUCUGCUUGACAUAUGAAGGUUUCAAGAAUAAGAGAAAACAUUUCCUUUCUACAAUCUCAUGAUAGAAGACCAGGAGAGGAGAUGGCAGCCCAUGAUGAUAGUACAGAAGAUGCACUAAGUCUGCUUUCAUGGAGACAGUGGAUUAACUGGAGUAUAGCUGAGUAA
This 207-nucleotide long non-coding RNA is filed under the name Anser brachyrhynchus (Pink-footed goose). Its description in RNAcentral is "lncRNA (ENSABRG00000006730.1)". The record is from RNAcentral. Lineage: Eukaryota; Metazoa; Chordata; Aves; Anseriformes; Anatidae.